RNAcentral lists this long non-coding RNA (630 nucleotides) under Sorghum bicolor (sorghum). RNAcentral's name for it is "long non-coding RNA (SBIC_LNC007435)". Lineage: Eukaryota; Viridiplantae; Streptophyta; Magnoliopsida; Poales; Poaceae. The record is from RNAcentral.
CGGGGUCGACGCCGAGCUCGCGCGCACGGUUCACGUACUCCUUCUUGACGUUUCCCCUCUGCAGCUGCAGGAGGCGGAUGACGCUGCGGCGCGCGUCGUGCCGAAACGGGCGCCCCGUCCCCGUGAAGCCGUCGAUGAGGUGCAGGUACGCCUCCAGGUCGUGGCGGCACGCGGGCCCGGCGUCCGGGCGGAGGCACGGCGAGUUCUUGCUGUCGAUCCGGAGCUCGGCGCCCACGUGCUGGUACUGCUCCUUCUUGUGCGGCAGCCGCGGCGCCACCCCGGGCACCUUGGUGACGACGUCGCCGGCGUUGACGAUGCGCAGGACGUUGACCUUGCCGCUGCUGGCGAGCCUAUCGACGAAGGCGGCGUUGCCCACCUUGGGGCCCCCGAAGGAGACGACGGCGACGGGGGGCGCGUCGGGGAUGGACGUGGCGACCUCGUCGGCGACGAGGAGCGCCAGGGCGGCGCCGAGGCUGUGUCCGACGAUCGUGAUGCUGAGCUCCUCGCCCUUGUACUUGUCCAUGAGGCGCCGCACCUCCUCCAUCACCUCGUCCGACAGGCUCUUGACUUUCUCCCCGGCCGUCUUGUACAGGCUGAGGAAGCCCCGCGCCACCUUGGGCUCCUCCGCUC